UUAGUCGAAACCAAAAAGAGGUGAAUUUUUGUUAAAAAUUUAAUUGAAAAACUCCAACUAUU
This 62-nucleotide transfer RNA is filed under the name Bactrurus brachycaudus. Its description in RNAcentral is "tRNA-Asn". The record is from RNAcentral. Lineage: Eukaryota; Metazoa; Arthropoda; Malacostraca; Amphipoda; Crangonyctidae.